CACAUCUGAAACUACAAUGUAUGUUGGGGCAACUCUCUGUUUAGGCAACACCGAUACCAGGAUGCAGCCAGUGUGUGUGGGAAGCAGACAUGAGCAGAGAGAGUGAGAAAGAGGAAGAUGAGAAGGGGACAUGGGUUCGAUCCCUGGUCCGGGAAGAUCCUACAUGCCAUGGAGCAACUAAGCCGGUGCGCCACAACUACUGGGCCUGUGCUCUAGAGCCCGCGAGCCACAACUACUGAAGCCCGCAUGCCUAGAGCCCAUGUUCCACAACAAGAGAAGCCACUGCAAUGAGAAGCCCGCACACCGCAAUGAAGAGUAGCCCUCACUGGCCAGAACUAGAGAAAAGCCUGCGCGUAGCAACGAAGAACCAACACAGCCAAAUAAAUAAAUGAAUAAAUAAAAAAAUUUUAAAAUAAAUAAACUCCAUAGAGUUCACCUA
Lagenorhynchus albirostris (white-beaked dolphin) is the source of this 439-nucleotide long non-coding RNA. RefSeq lists it as uncharacterized. Lineage: Eukaryota; Metazoa; Chordata; Mammalia; Artiodactyla; Delphinidae. The record is from RefSeq and is a predicted model, not a curated record. The transcript has 2 exons.